This 353-nucleotide ribosomal RNA is filed under the name Cohnella pontilimi. RNAcentral's name for it is "Bacterial small subunit ribosomal RNA". It matches the Rfam family "Bacterial small subunit ribosomal RNA", at positions 1 to 340 of the family's 1533-position model. Lineage: Bacteria; Bacillati; Bacillota; Bacilli; Caryophanales; Paenibacillaceae. The record is from Rfam by way of RNAcentral.
UUUAUGGAGAGUUUGAUCCUGGCUCAGGACGAACGCUGGCGGCGUGCCUAAUACAUGCAAGUCGAGCGGAUCUCUGAAGGAGCUUGCUCCUGAUGAGAUUAGCGGCGGACGGGUGAGUAACACGUAGGCAACCUGCCUGCAAGACCGGGAUAACAUUCGGAAACGGAUGCUAAGACCGGAUACGCAGUUUCCCCGCAUGGGGAGACUGGGAAAGACGGAGCAAUCUGUCGCUUACAGAUGGGCCUGCGGCGCAUUAGCUAGUUGGUGAGGUAACGGCUCACCAAGGCGACGAUGCGUAGCCGACCUGAGAGGGUGAACGGCCACACUGGGACUGAGACACGGCCCAGACUCCU